RNAcentral lists this ribosomal RNA (425 nucleotides) under uncultured bacterium. RNAcentral describes it as "partial 16S ribosomal RNA". It matches the Rfam family "Bacterial small subunit ribosomal RNA", at positions 354 to 796 of the family's 1533-position model. The record is from RNAcentral.
GUGGGGAAUAUUGGACAAUGGGGGAAACCCUGAUCCAGCGACGCCGCGUGAGUGAAGAAGUAUUUCGGUAUGUAAAGCUCUAUCAGCAGGGAAGAAAAUGACGGUACCUGACUAAGAAGCCCCGGCUAACUACGUGCCAGCAGCCGCGGUAAUACGUAGGGGGCAAGCGUUAUCCGGAUUUACUGGGUGUAAAGGGAGCGUAGACGGCACUGCAAGUCUGGAGUGAAAGCCCGGGGCUCAACCCCGGGACUGCUUUGGAAACUGUGGUGCUGGAGUGCAGGAGAGGUAAGUGGAAUUCCUAGUGUAGCGGUGAAAUGCGUAGAUAUUAGGAGGAACACCAGUGGCGAAGGCGGCUUACUGGACUGUAACUGACACUGAGGCUCGAAAGCGUGGGGAGCAAACAGGAUUAGAAACCCUGGUAGUCC